GGGCCUUUAGCUCAGUUGGUUAGAGCAGGGGACUCAUAAUCCCUUGGUCGCUGGUUCGAGUCCAGCAAGGCCCA
RNAcentral lists this transfer RNA (74 nucleotides) under Burkholderiales bacterium. Its description in RNAcentral is "tRNA-Ile". It matches the Rfam family "tRNA". From Rfam's summary of the family: Transfer RNA (tRNA) molecules are approximately 80 nucleotides in length. Their secondary structure includes four short double-helical elements and three loops (D, anti-codon, and T loops). Further hydrogen bonds mediate the characteristic L-shaped molecular structure. tRNAs have two regions of fundamental functional importance: the anti-codon, which is responsible for specific mRNA codon recognition, and the 3' end, to which the tRNAs corresponding amino acid is attached (by aminoacyl-tRNA synthetases). tRNAs cope with the degeneracy of the genetic code in two manners: having more than one tRNA (with a specific anti-codon) for a particular amino acid; and 'wobble' base-pairing, i.e. permitting non-standard base-pairing at the 3rd anti-codon position. Lineage: Bacteria; Pseudomonadati; Pseudomonadota; Betaproteobacteria; Burkholderiales. RNAcentral also lists the same sequence under 1 other name. The record is from RNAcentral.